GAUGAGCCGCGGAUGCGCCACGGCCCGGCCGUCCGGGCCAAGAGCCGCCCUCCUCCCCUCCCCGCACCGCCGGCCCUGCCAUGUUAUUCGCAGGAAUAGCGCACCCGCUCGCCGCGCGGCCGGGCAGGGAGGGAGGGUGUUCCCUCCCCCGCCUCGCCGUUCGCGCAGCGGGGUUGGCUUAUUUAUUUAUUAACUUACUACUCCAGUGCCGGGCGAUGCUGCCAUUUGCUUUCGUGCGAGCGGCGCCGCAUCAGUUUCCCUGUUUUGUUUUGUUUUUUUAUCUCUCCUUCCUUUUUUAAUUCCCCUCCCAAAAGAAAAAAAAAAAAAAAAACAACACACCAAAACAAGAGAACCAAAACCAAAAACCAUGGCCAGUCAGAAACUUUCAUAAGCAGGUUCAAAGCAAGGAAGUUGCACGCCAUGGAUUAAAAGGUUUCUGCGGUGCCCGUUGGCGUGAAAAUCAAAUAAACGUGACUUGGGGGCUCCUCGCUCCCUCCCUCCGUCCCUCGCCCCCAGGGGCGGUGCCGGGCCCGCCUGUGCGGCGGCUCGGGGACCACCGUCCCCCCAGCUGCCAGCUUGGGCACAAGGAGCUGCGGGGGGCUGCCCGAACGCGAGCGGCUGACCUGUGCGGGGUCGGUCCUUAUCUGCAAUACACUGGCUUAAGUUACAGGCAUGCCCCUGUGCGUCUCCGCCUUCUGAAAGUCUCCGAAGUCUCAGAAAUACUUAAAACCUGGCCUUUAUCUCGGAGCCACCAUUGCUAAAGCAGUGGGACAUAUUCUGGACGCCGCGGACUUUGCAUGCUUCAGGAAGUCACGAUGAACUCAUUAUUUUAUUGUGAAACUAAAUCCAUAAAGCAGUCAUGAUGAGUAACUCGGGGACUUGUCGUAAUUGGGCAGUAACGCACAGUUUUAUCAUCUGGAGGAUUCUAGUGGGCUCAAUGUGGUUGCCAAUUCUGUGUGAUUUAAUUGUGAACUUUACAACAUUUAGUGCCCUUCUUAAAGCUGUAGCUCCUGGACUCAUACAAUUAUGCAAGAAAUUCAGCCAGGUAUGAUACUGAACAGCAGGGCUGAUGGAGAACUAAAAAAAGAAAAACACAGAGAAUAUAUCAGAGUGCUUGUGAAAUAGUUACCAAUAGGUACACAGUUCAUGGAAUAACAGCUUUUGAACAGAUCAAGUAAUCCUGGGACAAGGUCUAUUACUGUCAGAUCUGCUUGUAGUUUACUGUGAUUUCUCCUGGGGCUGGGGCACCGUCCAGCCACCUCCCUCCUCACCCCUCCAGUCUUGAGUCCAUAACCAAUUCUUAAACACUCUGAAAAUCCCAGCCCCAAAACUCUGAUUUUCCCCCCUCCAUGUAAACUUUUACUACCAGCCCUUCAAGCUAUAGAGGCUGUGUGUUACAGCCAAGACAGCCUGGAUUUUGAUUUUACCUUCAGUUAGAGUUUGAAGCAAGAAGGGGAGUCGGCUUACUCUGAAAACUAUAAGACCAGAGUUGCUUUUUUCCUUCAGAUUUUUUUGAUAGACACACCAGAGAAAUAAAUAACUGAGUAAAGCCAA
Molecule: long non-coding RNA, 1554 nt
Organism: Pipra filicauda (Wire-tailed manakin)
Lineage: Eukaryota; Metazoa; Chordata; Aves; Passeriformes; Pipridae
Exons: 5
Source: RefSeq, a predicted model, not a curated record